CGUUCCUACGGGGGGCAGCAGUGGGGGAUAUUGCACAAUGGGGGGAACCCUGAUGCAGCGACGCCGCGUGGGCGAUGGAGUGCUUCGGCAUGUAAAGCCCUAUCAGCAGGGAAGAAAAUGACGGUACCUGACUAAGAAGCCCCGGCUAAAUACGUGCCAGCAGCCGCGGUAAUACGUAUGGGGCAAGCGUUAUCCGGAUUUACUGGGUGUAAAGGGAGCGUAGACGGCAGGGCAAGUCUGGAGUGAAAGCCCGGGGCCCAACCCCGGGACUGCUUUGGAAACUGCCAUGCUAGAGUGCUGGAGAG
This 305-nucleotide ribosomal RNA is filed under the name uncultured bacterium. Its description in RNAcentral is "bacterial SSU rRNA". It matches the Rfam family "Bacterial small subunit ribosomal RNA", at positions 334 to 656 of the family's 1533-position model. The record is from RNAcentral.